CUUUGUCCUAAGUAUAUAAAAGACUGAGCCAAACAAUGGUUCUGUAGUCUCCUAGCUUUGGCUGAAGAGAGUGCUUUUAAAAGUCAGAUUUUAAACCUUGGAUACUAGCUAUACAUGAUGAGGAUCCACCUUUUUUGACCCUAAUCCAGCUGUGAGAAAUUGGACCCAUGGAGGAUGAGUUAAGCAUCAAUAAUGGUGAGUAUGAAUCUACUGAUAUCACGAAGAAAUUUAUUAUCGGCGUCUUCACCAUCUGCCUGGUUUUCAUACUCGUGCUGAUUACUCUUCUCAGCUGCCUUCACAUCAAAUUGGCCAAGACAAGGAUAGCAACUGAGUUUCUACCACUGGAAGAUAUGCUAGACCCCUUUGAUGAACCAUAAAAGGAACAAUCAUGUUUCCUCAGGAGAGGAAGGAGAGACAGAUAUGCACACCUUUUCCCAGUUUUUUUCUCCCUUUUCCUUGUCUCCCUCUCUCAUAUCAUAUAUGUCUAUCUUUGGUAUUCAGAAGAAAUAUGUGCAAUAAAAAAUGCAAUAAAGAGCUA
This is a long non-coding RNA of Microcebus murinus (gray mouse lemur), 538 nucleotides long. RefSeq lists it as uncharacterized. The record is from RefSeq and is a predicted model, not a curated record. Lineage: Eukaryota; Metazoa; Chordata; Mammalia; Primates; Cheirogaleidae.